AAACAUGGUCUUUUGAUUUAUAUAAAAGAUCUGUCCUGCCCAGUGAUUUAUUUUAAAUGGCUGCAGUAUUUUGACUGUACAAAGGUAGCAUAAUCAUUUGCCUUUUAAUUGAAGGAUGGAAUGAAUGGAUGGAUGAGAAAUAUACUUUCUUUAUUUUAAUAAAUGAAUUUAAUCUUUGAGUCAAAAAGCUUAAAUAAAAUUAUAAGACGAGAAGACCCUGUAGAAUUUUAUUUAUUAUAACCUUUUAAUUUUUUUUUAAUUUUUUAAAUUAAAAGGUUAUAAUAAAUUGUGUUGGGGUGACAAAAAAAAUAUAUUAACUUUUUUUAUUUUUUUCAUAUAUAUAUGAAUUAUUGAUCCUUUCAUAAAGAUAAUAAGAUUAAAUUACCUCAGGGAUAACAGCGUUAUCAUUUUGGAGAGUUCUUAUCAAUAAAAUGGAUUGCGACCUCGAUGU
Molecule: ribosomal RNA, 451 nt
Filed under: Coridromius testaceous
Lineage: Eukaryota; Metazoa; Arthropoda; Insecta; Hemiptera; Miridae
Description: partial 16S ribosomal RNA
Rfam family: Archaeal large subunit ribosomal RNA
Source: RNAcentral